UACGUAGGGUGCGAGCGUUGUCCGGAAUUAUUGGGCGUAAAGAGCUCGUAGGCGGUGUGUCACGUCGGCCGUGAAAACCUGCAGCUUAACUGUGGGCGUGCGGUCGAUACGGGCAUCACUGGAGUUCGGCAGGGGAGACUGGAAUUCCUGGUGUAGCGGUGAAAUUCGCAGAUAUCAGGAGGAACGCCGGUGGCGAAGGCGGCGACCUGGUCCGAUACUGACGCUGAGGCGCGAAAGCGUGGGGAGCAAACAGG
Molecule: ribosomal RNA, 254 nt
Filed under: uncultured bacterium
Lineage: Bacteria
Description: partial 16S ribosomal RNA
Rfam family: Bacterial small subunit ribosomal RNA
Source: RNAcentral